AUCCCUGUAGCGCAAUGGGUAGCGCGUUGGACUUGUAAUCCAAAUGUCGUGGGCUCGAAUCCCACCUGGGAUG
Molecule: transfer RNA, 73 nt
Filed under: Trichonephila inaurata madagascariensis
Lineage: Eukaryota; Metazoa; Arthropoda; Arachnida; Araneae; Nephilidae
Rfam family: tRNA
About the family: Transfer RNA (tRNA) molecules are approximately 80 nucleotides in length.
Source: Rfam by way of RNAcentral